Molecule: unclassified non-coding RNA, 304 nt
Filed under: Hevea brasiliensis (rubber tree)
Lineage: Eukaryota; Viridiplantae; Streptophyta; Magnoliopsida; Malpighiales; Euphorbiaceae
Source: RNAcentral
AACUUGACAUACUGAAAUGCUCUUCCAGGCAGCUUCAAAUUAUGCAUGGUUAUAGAUUGUUGUUUCUGAGAGCAUUAAAUGCGCUCGGCCCUUCUUCAUCAAGAGGGUAUUUCAUCAACUCCUGCUACGCACACUGUCAAACUGAAGUUCAAGAAACAUGGUACAGGGCUGACUCUCCUAAGUUAGCAAACAAGACUAUAGCCAAAGCACUCGGAGACUGGUUUUACGACAAAAAUCCAUUCCAGAAGAUUGAUUGCCCUUACCCUUGUGACAAAACGUGUCACAACCGUGUUUUUGAUCCGAA